Non-coding RNA from Homo sapiens (human), 94 nucleotides. NCBI's taxonomy places the organism in Eukaryota, Metazoa, Chordata, Mammalia, Primates, Hominidae. The record is from RefSeq and is marked provisional.
GAAUCCGGUCCGUACAAACUCUGCUGUGUUGAAUGAUUGGUGAGUUUGUUUGCUCAUUGAUUGAAUCACUGCAGAGUUUGUACGGACCGGAUUC